This 98-nucleotide microRNA precursor is filed under the name Camelus bactrianus (Bactrian camel). RNAcentral's name for it is "mir-544 microRNA precursor family". It matches the Rfam family "mir-544 microRNA precursor family". The record is from Rfam by way of RNAcentral. RNAcentral also lists the same sequence under 3 other names. Lineage: Eukaryota; Metazoa; Chordata; Mammalia; Artiodactyla; Camelidae.
AUCACCUGGGGAUCUUGUUAAACUGUACAUUCUGAAUCAGUGGGUCUGGGGUGGUACCCAAGAUUCUGCAUUUCUAACAAUUUCCCAGGUGAUGCCAA